AUGGCCUACGGGACGCAGCAGUGGGGAAUAUUGCACAAUGGGGGAAACCCUGAUGCAGCGACGCCGCGUGGGUGAAGAAGCGCCUCGGCGCGUAAAGCCCUGUCAGCAGGGAAGAAAAUGACGGUACCUGAAGAAGAAGCCCCGGCUAACUACGUGCCAGCAGCCGCGGUAAUACGUAGGGGGCAAGCGUUAUCCGGAUUUACUGGGUGUAAAGGGAGCGCAGGCGGCACGGCAAGCCUGAUGUGAAAGCGCGCGGCCCAACCGCGGGACUGCAUUGGGGACUACCGGGCGGGAGUGCAGGAGAG
This 305-nucleotide ribosomal RNA is filed under the name uncultured bacterium. RNAcentral's name for it is "bacterial SSU rRNA". It matches the Rfam family "Bacterial small subunit ribosomal RNA", at positions 334 to 656 of the family's 1533-position model. The record is from RNAcentral.